This 1554-nucleotide ribosomal RNA is filed under the name Escherichia coli. Its description in RNAcentral is "bacterial SSU rRNA". It matches the Rfam family "Bacterial small subunit ribosomal RNA". The record is from RNAcentral. Lineage: Bacteria; Pseudomonadati; Pseudomonadota; Gammaproteobacteria; Enterobacterales; Enterobacteriaceae.
AAAUUGAAGAGUUUGAUCAUGGCUCAGAUUGAACGCUGGCGGCAGGCCUAACACAUGCAAGUCGAACGGUAACAGGAAGAAGCUUGCUUCUUUGCUGACGAGUGGCGGACGGGUGAGUAAUGUCUGGGAAACUGCCUGAUGGAGGGGGAUAACUACUGGAAACGGUAGCUAAUACCGCAUAACGUCGCAAGACCAAAGAGGGGGACCUUCGGGCCUCUUGCCAUCGGAUGUGCCCAGAUGGGAUUAGCUAGUAGGUGGGGUAACGGCUCACCUAGGCGACGAUCCCUAGCUGGUCUGAGAGGAUGACCAGCCACACUGGAACUGAGACACGGUCCAGACUCCUACGGGAGGCAGCAGUGGGGAAUAUUGCACAAUGGGCGCAAGCCUGAUGCAGCCAUGCCGCGUGUAUGAAGAAGGCCUUCGGGUUGUAAAGUACUUUCAGCGGGGAGGAAGGGGGUAAAGUUAAUACCUUUGCUCAUUGACGUUACCCGCAGAAGAAGCACCGGCUAACUCCGUGCCAGCAGCCGCGGUAAUACGGAGGGUGCAAGCGUUAAUCGGAAUUACUGGGCGUAAAGCGCACGCAGGCGGUUUGUUAAGUCAGAUGUGAAAUCCCCGGGCUCAACCUGGGAACUGCAUCUGAUACUGGCAAGCUUGAGUCUCGUAGAGGGGGGUAGAAUUCCAGGUGUAGCGGUGAAAUGCGUAGAGAUCUGGAGGAAUACCGGUGGCGAAGGCGGCCCCCUGGACGAAGACUGACGCUCAGGUGCGAAAGCGUGGGGAGCAAACAGGAUUAGAUACCCUGGUAGUCCACGCCGUAAACGAUGUCGACUUGGAGGUUGUGCCCUUGAGGCGUGGCUUCCGGAGCUAACGCGUUAAGUCGACCGCCUGGGGAGUACGGCCGCAAGGUUAAAACUCAAAUGAAUUGACGGGGGCCCGCACAAGCGGUGGAGCAUGUGGUUUAAUUCGAUGCAACGCGAAGAACCUUACCUGGUCUUGACAUCCACGGAAGUUUUCAGAGAUGAGAAUGUGCCUUCGGGAACCGUGAGACAGGUGCUGCAUGGCUGUCGUCAGCUCGUGUUGUGAAAUGUUGGGUUAAGUCCCGCAACGAGCGCAACCCUUAUCCUUUGUUGCCAGCGGUCCGGCCGGGAACUCAAAGGAGACUGCCAGUGAUAAACUGGAGGAAGGUGGGGAUGACGUCAAGUCAUCAUGGCCCUUACGACCAGGGCUACACACGUGCUACAAUGGCGCAUACAAAGAGAAGCGACCUCGCGAGAGCAAGCGGACCUCAUAAAGUGCGUCGUAGUCCGGAUUGGAGUCUGCAACUCGACUCCAUGAAGUCGGAAUCGCUAGUAAUCGUGGAUCAGAAUGCCACGGUGAAUACGUUCCCGGGCCUUGUACACACCGCCCGUCACACCAUGGGAGUGGGUUGCAAAAGAAGUAGGUAGCUUAACCUUCGGGAGGGCGCUUACCACUUUGUGAUUCAUGACUGGGGUGAAGUCGUAACAAGGUAACCGUAGGGGAACCUGCGGUUGGAUCACCUCCUUACCUUAAAGAAGC